Xyrichtys novacula (pearly razorfish) is the source of this 362-nucleotide non-coding RNA. NCBI's taxonomy places the organism in Eukaryota, Metazoa, Chordata, Actinopteri, Labriformes, Labridae. The record is from the annotation of a GenBank genome assembly.
GUCCUGGAACAGCUCUUAAAGACCAUCAGACACCAGGUUGGAGCAGAACUGAUGCUGUAGCACCUGUCACUCAGUGGGCUCUUCUCUGCUAAAUCUCCCAGAGAUAUGCCCCUCUUCAACAACGCCUGAGGUAAUGUCUUUGGGAACUUGUGUUUAUUUAUUUAUUCUUCGUAAUUUUAUCUGCUGUAUUAUUGUUUGUGACUUCAUUGUAUAGCUCUGUUGAUAUCAUCGUCUUUAACAGCAGUGAUUUCCCUCAGGUCUUCUUCAAGCCAAUUGAACGUUAAGAGCGGAAGAACUGCUCAGACACUCAGGCAGCCAAAUGCACCAAAGUUAGACAUCAUGCAGCCACCCUAAGCCUUGAG